GAGAGAGUAGUGUCGUGGUUUGAGCAUUGGACUAUGGCUCUGGAGACCAAGGUUCAAAUCCUUGCUCAGACU
Phrynosoma platyrhinos (Desert horned lizard) is the source of this 72-nucleotide non-coding RNA. The record is from the annotation of a GenBank genome assembly. Lineage: Eukaryota; Metazoa; Chordata; Lepidosauria; Squamata; Phrynosomatidae.